UGGGCCAUAGGUGAACAAGCUGUGCUAUA
Molecule: non-coding RNA, 29 nt
Filed under: Rattus norvegicus (Norway rat)
Lineage: Eukaryota; Metazoa; Chordata; Mammalia; Rodentia; Muridae
Source: RNAcentral